UACGUAGGUGGCAAGCGUUGUCCGGAUUUACUGGGCGUAAAGAGCGCGCAGGCGGCUGGUCAAGUCCGAUGUGAAAUCUCCCGGCUUAACUGGGAAACUGCAUCGGAAACUGAUCGGCUUGAAGGUGGGAGAGGAGAGUGGAAUUCCCGGUGUAGUGGUGAAAUGCGUAGAUAUCGGGAGGAACACCAGUGGCGAAGGCGACUACCUGGCCUGUUCUUGACGCUGAGGCGCGAAAGCUAGGGGAGCAAACGGG
Molecule: ribosomal RNA, 253 nt
Filed under: uncultured bacterium
Lineage: Bacteria
Description: partial 16S ribosomal RNA
Rfam family: Bacterial small subunit ribosomal RNA
Source: RNAcentral